Molecule: long non-coding RNA, 345 nt
Organism: Oreochromis niloticus (Nile tilapia)
Lineage: Eukaryota; Metazoa; Chordata; Actinopteri; Cichliformes; Cichlidae
Exons: 3
Source: RefSeq, a predicted model, not a curated record
AGCACAACCCAGUAAAUGCCUGUUUACUGGAAAACAAAUUUAACGAAGAGGUGCAUCCUGUGCUCGGACAAACAACACUGCUCAAAGAGCUGUGCGUGUGUGGUGGUGCUAUCUCCUGCAUCAUCUAAAGCCUCUUUUGCUGAUGCAAAACCAUUCUCCGGACUUGAUUUUUACAUCCCUGUGAAGAAGAAGAGCGCCGUGAUGAGCAGCAGGCUCGCUGGUGGCCUCCCUACCUGUACGCGUGGCAGACCGUGCACUUCCAGAUCGCUGCUCCCACACGACACUUGUUGCAGAUGCGGUGGCUGCAGCCGCGGCAGACUGCGCCAGAGUUCCAGAACUUUCCCA